AGGCAGCAGCAGCCUCGCCUUCGCUCGAAGUCGCUGCUGCCUUUGGUGCCUCCAGCCAGACUGUCGUCCAGCCCACUCCUUCGCCGCCUUCUCCUGCUAGUCGGCCUUUGACCGCCACUCCGCCGCCAGUGUCCGCUGAUAAUGAACACGAGGUGUGGAGUACGCGUAAAUCCAAGUUUUUGAUUUGCAUGUACAGGGCAUUCAAAGACAGCAUUGGCAAGAAGUGUGGCUUUAAGACCAAAAAGGCCAUGUAGGAAAACGUGGCCCGUGAAAUAAACAAUGAAUUUCACUGUAGCAUGAUUCCUCUUCAAAUUGAGAACAAAUGGAAAUCGAUGGAGAGAUCAUACAAGGAAACAAAAAUAAGGAACGGAUCAUCCGGUCAUUCUCCUGCAGCCUGCGAGUACGAGGGUUAUGGCAACGAAGUUUUGGAGCGCGAACUUCACAUCACUCCAGUUGCAUUGCUCGCCCCGGGGAGGAUUGUUGCGUAAGUUGGCAUGUUGUAUCUUUAUUUUGUAUUGAAAAGAAUUUUAAAAUGUUACCUGAUUAUGCAUGAACAUUUUCCUGAUAGCAUCUUUUAAGUGCAAUUUACGUUCAUCUGUACAUUUGUUAGCACCGUUCUAAACGUGUUGUGCGCAUGCAAGCUUUUGUGGGAAAAUGCUGCUUCCAUUCGUAUGGCAUGCAUGGACCAUUUGCUGUUAUAGGACGAGGUCAUACAGGUUACUGCGACCUUGUCUGUUUCUUCAUUUGCAGAUAAAGAGUUUUGGCAUUGAAGACGUAUUCAGCUCUAAAAAUACCUGCAGUUUGCGUACUGUUUCUGCUUAAAGGACUGAUGUGAGAUGAAGCUGCCCAGGAGCAAAUUGCUCCGCCACUCAUUUUGCACAGUUACAACAUGUAAUGACCAAUGCGACAUUUGUUGACAUUAAUGAAACUUUAUUAAUGGAAGUAACAUGAAUGGAGAAAGGAUGCUGCCAGAAAAUGGGCCUGCUGACGACGGUCGAGAUGAGGACGGACCAGCUGAGGAGGCACCCCGCAGCAUUGAAGCGACACCAUCUAGGAGAGGUGAUGGCCGCCACAGGAACACAUCGAUUGGCAGCGUGAUAAAUGUAUUGCAGCAAGCCAUAGCUGCGAAGCAGAAGCAGCAUGAAGAAAAAAUGUCUCUUCUUGAGCGUCUUGUGAGCGCUGCCGAAGCAAGUAAAUGAGUACAGCAAUAGUUUCUUUUCGCAUGA
RNAcentral lists this long non-coding RNA (1226 nucleotides) under Dermacentor andersoni. RNAcentral describes it as "uncharacterized LOC126518707". The record is from RNAcentral. Lineage: Eukaryota; Metazoa; Arthropoda; Arachnida; Ixodida; Ixodidae.